AACGAACGCUGGCGGCAGGCUUAACACAUGCAAGUCGAACGCCCCGCAAGGGGAGUGGCAGACGGGUGAGUAACGCGUGGGAAUCUACCGUGCCCUGCGGAAUAGCUCCGGGAAACUGGAAUUAAUACCGCAUACGCCCUACGGGGAAAGAUUUAUCGGGUAUGAUGAGCCCGCGUUGGAUUAGCUAGUUGGUGGGGUAA
This 200-nucleotide ribosomal RNA is filed under the name uncultured bacterium. Its description in RNAcentral is "partial 16S ribosomal RNA". It matches the Rfam family "Bacterial small subunit ribosomal RNA", at positions 29 to 260 of the family's 1533-position model. The record is from RNAcentral.